UUUAUUGCCUCACGUUUGUUUUCAAAUUCAAAUGUUAAUGAUGUCGUGUCCUGAUUGGUCCUUUAGCGUGCCCCCUCUAUUUUAACUCUUAUUUUAUUAUUUUAUUUAUUAAGUGCGCUUCUUGGUCACAAGUGGGUGCUUGGUCUAGUGGGAAAGAAGGUUGAUCCCCAUGACCCCAAGGUCAGGGGUUCAACCCCCAGCGCAUGCAUUCUAUUUUAUUUUUAUCUCUUUCACUUCUAUUUUAUUUAUUUUUCCCCAUAUUUAUUUCCAAUUUCAU
RNAcentral lists this long non-coding RNA (277 nucleotides) under Lathyrus oleraceus (garden pea). RNAcentral describes it as "Pisum sativum (pea) long non-coding RNA (PSAT_LNC030510)". Lineage: Eukaryota; Viridiplantae; Streptophyta; Magnoliopsida; Fabales; Fabaceae. The record is from RNAcentral.